RNAcentral lists this long non-coding RNA (1376 nucleotides) under Homo sapiens (human). Its description in RNAcentral is "non-protein coding lnc-ADD3-11:1". The record is from RNAcentral. Lineage: Eukaryota; Metazoa; Chordata; Mammalia; Primates; Hominidae.
AUGUCAAAAGAAAGUAUGAUGAUGUCAUCAAGGAAACAUUCAUUUCAAGAAAUACAGUAUUUCCUGGACUCAGGCUAAGAUCAGGGAUUAGUAAUCCAGUUUAAGUCAGGAUUGUGGGGAAAAAACUGGCUGAGAAUUUAUGUGGAAAAAAUCUGGCUGAGAAUUUCUGUACACUGAAAAUUCCUUUUAAUCACCUCAAAGCUAGAAAUGAUAUAUGUGUAAACACAGUAUGUGCCACAUGCCCCAAUAUAGUUCAUAUUAUUAAAGUGUUAGCUAACAGCGUAGCUUCCUCAUGAGUCCAGACCCAGGGUUUGACUCAAUGGUAAUGGAAAUGAUGGAAGGGAGAUAGCUCUUUCACAGCAUGGCCCAGCACAAGCAUUUUACAGAGCAGCAAGUCAGCCAAGUACCAAAGCAGAUAGCUCUGACUCCACAGCACUGUCAUAUGUUAGAGAUCACAUAUAGGGAGCUUAUGCCUGACAAUCUGCCCUUGAAGGAUAAUCUUACGGAUGCCCCAGUGACAUUUAUAACUGAAUUUGUCAAAACUCACCAAAGCGACAUGACCAAAACGCCAGUUCACCCUUUAUUAGGCAGCACCUCAGGAGAUGCGAGAAUUCCUCAGAAGAGUUUGGCAUCAUAUCUACCUUGCUAACAUGAUACACUUACAACCAGGACUGUGGUAGGUGGACUGUCAGGGUAAUUACCUACACGAUGCUAUGUGGAGUCUCUCCUUUUUACUCCAAAUGCAAUAGCAAGACAAUCCCAAAAUACAUGUGGAGAAAGAUCCUGAAAGAGAAGCAGUGACAAGUUUCAAGCACAGGCCUGAAGCCAGACCUCAGAGGUGAGCAAGAUGUGAGAAAACUCCAUGAGGUCAACCUAGAGGAGAGGUCUACCAUCAAGAGAGUGGGGAGCAGAUGAAACCCAAUUUGACUGAAUCUCUGUGUAAUGGGCUGCUCUGCACUCAACUGAUGGUGGAGAAGACAAAGGCUGCAGGAAUCUAGCAGGCUCAUGUACUAUAAUCAGCCUUAACCCCCUGCACUCUGUGAAUAACCCCAUUCUAAGAAAGAGAAUGCUACUUUCAUCAAGCCAAAGGACAAUGUUUCCAUCUAUGGUUGUGAUAAUGGAGUGAAGGAUUUGAAUGCUGACAUGGGGAAACUCUGAGAUAUGAUGCUCUGUGUAUUCUCUCAAAGGAUAGAAAAAAAAUAAAGAUAAGAAGCUUAAUGAAGCCAUACAUGAGUUUUGGAUUAUAGCAGGGAUGCAAAUUCCAAAAUGAUAUUCUGCAGAGCUUCAGCUGGAAUGUUGUGAAAUCAAACAUAAAAUAGAUUCACUAAGACUGGCAGAAAUUGUGUAGAAAAGCAAACCACAUCUCAUGAAUCCAA